AUGGAGGCGACAUCACGGACGGCUGGAGCUGCGAGUAGAUUUGUCCAAGAUACAACAGUGUUCGUAGUCAUAGUUCUGGUAACUGUCUGCGAUCUCCAUAUGUUAACUGUUUGCGAAGACGGAAAUGCAAAUUCAAAAGAUAUACGGAUGAUUAUAUGGGUGCGUGGCAAGUAUACUGCAAUGAUGAUGAUGAUGUUCCCGGUUCACAAUGAAGACGAUGAUGGCUGUUCUCAGUUUUAG
This 240-nucleotide ribosomal RNA is filed under the name Triticum aestivum (bread wheat). Its description in RNAcentral is "partial small subunit ribosomal RNA". The record is from RNAcentral. Lineage: Eukaryota; Viridiplantae; Streptophyta; Magnoliopsida; Poales; Poaceae.